UAAGGGCAUCUUGAGCGACUGGGGCCGCGGAUUAAGGCACUGGGGCGCAGUGCUAGGCGAGUUGCAUGGUUCAUGUCCUUUGGGCUCUUAGUCUUAAUGCGGGCCAAACUGGUGAUUGAGAGAAAUGAAAAGGUCGCGAGCCUCAUGGGCUGCUAGAAUGCCGGGCAUGCAAGCCUCUUACCUAUUGGUCCAAGAGAAAAAAAUGAGGGAAAAACUAGUAUGGGUUGAGCUCCCCUGAUGAGUACCGUGAAUGGCGUUGGCUGCUUAGUUCUCUUCACCGGGAGAAAGGUGAGCUGCUCCCGAGAGAGGAGGUAAAGAGGAUCAAGGCGGAUGCAUUGACUCAUCUGAACGCUAUCGUAGAGCCUAUUAUGAAUGAAGGUGGAAAGAAGAGAUAUUCCUAGCCUGCUCAAGAGAUGCCGGUUGAGAAAACUGAAGACUUCAUCUAAUGCUUGUGAGGGUC
This 460-nucleotide long non-coding RNA is filed under the name Malus domestica (apple). RNAcentral describes it as "long non-coding RNA (MDOM_LNC014810)". Lineage: Eukaryota; Viridiplantae; Streptophyta; Magnoliopsida; Rosales; Rosaceae. The record is from RNAcentral.